Molecule: ribosomal RNA, 968 nt
Filed under: uncultured bacterium
Lineage: Bacteria
Description: bacterial SSU rRNA
Rfam family: Bacterial small subunit ribosomal RNA
Source: RNAcentral
AGAGUUUGAUCCUGGCUCAGAAAUAAACGCUGGUGGCGUGCUUUAUACAUGCAAGUCGAGCGGAGAUCAGCUUGAAGCAGAAGGUGAUUAAUUCACACUUUGUGUGAGUUAUGAACUUUCUGUGACGGUUGAUCUUAGCGGCGAACGGGUGAGUAACGCGUGGAUAAUCCGCCCUUGAGACUGGGAUAACAUCUCGAAAGAGGCGCUAAUACCGGAUGAAGUUACAGAAAGCAAUUUCGGUAACCAAAGUUGGAUUUUCAAAGUUCUUCGCUCAAGGAUGAGUCCGCGUCCUAUUAGCUAGUUGGUGAGGUAAAGGCUCACCAAGGCAAUGAUGGGUAGCCGGCCUGAGAGGGCGUACGGCCACACUGGGACUGAGACACGGCCCAGACUCCUACGGGAGGCAGCAGUAGGGAAUCUUCCGCAAUGGGCGAAAGCCUGACGGAGCGACGCCACGUGGAUGACGAAGGCCUUCGGGUCGUAAAAUCCUGUCAGGGGGGACGAUGGUCGAUCUUCGGAUUGACUGACGGUACCCUCAGAGGAAGCUCCGGCCAACUACGUGCCAGCAGCCGCGGUAAUACGUAGGGAGCAAGCGUUGUUCGGAUUUACUGGGCGUAAAGAGUGCGUAGGCGGUUAUAUAAGUCAAAGGUGAAAUCUCCACUUUCAAGGUGGAAACUGCCUUUGAUACUGUAUGACUAGAGGGCAAGAGGGGGAAAUGGAACUCUGGGAGUAGCGGUGAAAUGCGUAGAUAUCCAGAGGAACGCCGGUAGCGAAGGCGAUUUCCUGGCUUGCAUCUGACGCUGAGGCACUAAAGCUAGGGUAGCGAUCGGGAUUAGAGACCCCGGUAGUCCUAGCCCUAAACGAUGGGUACUAAGUGUGGGGGGAGCAUUACCCUCCGUGCUGAAGUUGACACGUUAAGUACCCCGCCUGGGGAGUACGGUCGCAAGACUGAAACUCAAAGGAAUUGACGG